GGUCAAAUUGAAUUUUUCUCCAGCGAGAGGAAGGAUGACUCCUAGACCUGUCUUUGUCCCAUACUUGGGAAGAUAAGCUGUUAGUUUACAUUGCCAAGAUGAAAUUCAACUGAUCUGUUUUAGAGUAAAGAUCUUGCGGGCCAACAAGGAAUUUCCUUGGGGAGGUGUGUGGCCUUUGAUCUUUGUAGCUAUCUAUUUAGCAACAAAAUGGGAGGCAGUGUUGCCUGACUCAGUUUCCAAGCUUGACUCUUCCCUUUGGCAUAGUGAGUUUGGAGUCAAGAGAUUUUUAUUUUCCCUUCACAAGCUGAACAGGAGCCUUUGGAGAGAACGCUCUGGACCGGAAGCGCGCCCCCGGGGCCGGUCCCGGAGGGCUCGAUCCGCGUCUACAGCAUGAGGUUCUGCCCGUUUGCUGAGAGGACGCGUCUGGUCCUGAAGGCCAAGGGAAUCAGGCAUGAAGUCAUCAAUAUCAACCUGAAAAAUAAGCCUGAGUGGUUCUUUAAGAAAAAUCCCUUUGGUCUGGUGCCAGUUCUGGAAAACAGUCAGGGUCAGCUGAUCUACGAGUCUGCCAUCACCUGUGAGUACCUGGAUGAAGCAUACCCAGGGAAGAAGCUGUUGCCGGAUGACCCCUAUGAGAAAGCUUGCCAGAAGAUGAUCUUAGAGUUGUUUUCUAAGGUGCCAUCCUUGGUAGGAAGCUUUAUUAGAAGCCAAAAUAAAGAAGACUAUGCUGGCCUAAAAGAAGAAUUUCGUAAAGAAUUUACCAAGCUAGAGGAGGUUCUGACUAAUAAGACGACGACCUUCUUUGGUGGCAAUUCUAUCUCUAUGAUUGAUUACCUCAUCUGGCCCUGGUUUGAACGGCUGGAAGCAAUGAAGUUAAAUGA
Molecule: small RNA, 878 nt
Filed under: Pan troglodytes (chimpanzee)
Lineage: Eukaryota; Metazoa; Chordata; Mammalia; Primates; Hominidae
Description: processed transcript
Source: RNAcentral